This 440-nucleotide ribosomal RNA is filed under the name uncultured bacterium. RNAcentral's name for it is "partial 16S ribosomal RNA". It matches the Rfam family "Bacterial small subunit ribosomal RNA", at positions 339 to 795 of the family's 1533-position model. The record is from RNAcentral.
CUACGGGGUGCAGCAGUGGGGAAUAUUGGACAAUGGGGGGAACCCUGAUGCAGCAACGCCGCGUGGAGGAUGACGCAUUUCGGUGUGUAAACUCCUUUUAUAUGUCAAGAAAAUGACGGUAGCAUAUGAAUAAGCACCGGCUAACUCCGUGCCAGCAGCCGCGGUAAUACGGGAGGGUGCAAGCGUUACUCGGAAUCACUGGGCGUAAAGGACGCGUAGGCGGGUUGGAAAGUCAGGUGUGAAAUCCUACAGCUUAACUGUAGAACUGCACUUGAAACUUCUAAUCUAGAGUAUGGGAGGGGGAGAUGGAAUUAGUGGUGUAGGGGUAAAAUCCGUAGAUAUCACUAGGAAUACCUAAAGCGAAGGCGAUCUCCUGGAACAUUACUGACGCUAAGGCGUGAAAGCGUGGGGAGCAAACAGGAUUAGAUACCCGCGUAGUC